AGAGUAGUGAAGGCGCGUUAAGUGUUGCAAAACGGGAUGUUGUUUGCAAACGAAAGGUAGAACCUGCGGUGUCUUCGCGCAUCCGCUA
Molecule: non-coding RNA, 88 nt
Filed under: pig gut metagenome
Description: THF riboswitch
Rfam family: THF (Tetrahydrofolate) riboswitch aptamer
About the family: THF riboswitch presents a pseudoknot that joins P1-P2 and the loop of P3 and two THF binding.
Source: RNAcentral